RNAcentral lists this small nuclear RNA (78 nucleotides) under Cavia porcellus (domestic guinea pig). The record is from RNAcentral. Lineage: Eukaryota; Metazoa; Chordata; Mammalia; Rodentia; Caviidae.
AAAAUUGGAAUGAUAGAGAGAUUAGCAUGGCCCCUGUGCAAGGAUGACACACAAAUUUGUGAAGCAUUCCAUAAAAAG